RNAcentral lists this small nuclear RNA (317 nucleotides) under Neotoma lepida (desert woodrat). RNAcentral's name for it is "7SK RNA". It matches the Rfam family "7SK RNA". From Rfam's summary of the family: 7SK was discovered as an abundant small nuclear RNA in the mid-70s but a possible function has only recently been suggested. Two independent studies have found that 7SK RNA binds the CDK9/cyclin T complex (known as elongation factor P-TEFb). Lineage: Eukaryota; Metazoa; Chordata; Mammalia; Rodentia; Cricetidae. The record is from Rfam by way of RNAcentral.
UGAUGUGAGUAUGAUUGACUGAGACAUUUGUCACCUCAUUGAUUACUACUGGAUGGCUAGGCAGAUGUCUUCUUCAUCUCUUACCUCUCCAUGUUAAUCCUGUCCAAAGUUGUAGGCUCAGUUGAAGAGGAUGACCUUCCCCGAUAGAGGACCCUUUUUGGAUUCAGGGUAUUCCAGGAGAUGCACACCUCUAGCUAGACCCUCCAAACUGGCUUUUUUUUUCUCCCACCUAGGACCUCAGCCCUCUGGGACAGUUUUUUUUUUCCUCUAAAACUUUAGCCUGUACCAGAAUCACCCUGAGGCUGUUGGUUACAAAU